This is a transfer RNA of Pseudomassariella vexata, 81 nucleotides long. It matches the Rfam family "tRNA". From Rfam's summary of the family: Transfer RNA (tRNA) molecules are approximately 80 nucleotides in length. Their secondary structure includes four short double-helical elements and three loops (D, anti-codon, and T loops). The record is from Rfam. NCBI's taxonomy places the organism in Eukaryota, Fungi, Ascomycota, Sordariomycetes, Amphisphaeriales, Pseudomassariaceae.
GGCGGAGUGCCUGAGUGGUUAAAGGGAAUGACUAGAAAUCAUUUGGGUUCGCCCGCGCAGGUUCGAGUCCUGUCUCCGUCG